RNAcentral lists this ribosomal RNA (1470 nucleotides) under metagenome. RNAcentral's name for it is "bacterial SSU rRNA". It matches the Rfam family "Bacterial small subunit ribosomal RNA". The record is from RNAcentral.
AGAGUUCGAUCCUGGCUCAGGACGAACGCUGGCGGCACGCUUAACACAUGCAAGUCGAACGAGAGAAGAGGAGCUUGCUUUUCUGAUCUAGUGGCGGACGGGUGAGUAACACGUGAGCAAUCUGCCUUUCAGAGGGGGAUACCGAUUGGAAACGAUCGUUAAUACCGCAUAACAUAAUUGAACCGCAUGAUUUGAUUAUCAAAGAUUUAUCGCUGAAAGAUGAGCUCGCGUCUGAUUAGCUAGAUGGUAAGGUAACGGCUUACCAAGGCGACGAUCAGUAGCCGGACUGAGAGGUUGAUCGGCCACAUUGGGACUGAGACACGGCCCAGACUCCUACGGGAGGCAGCAGUGGGGAAUAUUGCACAAUGGAGGAAACUCUGAUGCAGCGAUGCCGCGUGAGGGAAGAAGGUUUUAGGAUUGUAAACCUCUGUCUUCAGGGACGAAAAAAGACGGUACCUGAGGAGGAAGCUCCGGCUAACUACGUGCCAGCAGCCGCGGUAAUACGUAGGGAGCGAGCGUUGUCCGGAAUUACUGGGUGUAAAGGGAGCGUAGGCGGGAUCGCAAGUCAGAUGUGAAAACUAUGGGCUUAACCCAUAAACUGCAUUUGAAACUGUGGUUCAUGAGUGAAGUAGAGGUAAGCGGAAUUCCUAGUGUAGCGGUGAAAUGCGUAGAUAUUAGGAGGAACAUCAGUGGCGAAGGCGGCUUACUGGGCUUUAACUGACGCUGAGGCUCGAAAGCGUGGGGAGCAAACAGGAUUAGAUACCCUGGUAGUCCACGCCGUAAACGAUGAUUACUAGGUGUGGGGGGACUGACCCCUUCCGUGCCGCAGCAAACGCAAUAAGUAAUCCACCUGGGGAGUACGACCGCAAGGUUGAAGCUCAAAGGAAUUGACGGGGGCCCGCACAAGCAGUGGAGUAUGUGGAUUAAUUCGAAGCAACGCGAAGAACCUUACCAGGUCUUGACAUCGUAUGCAUAGCUCAGAGAUGAGUGAAAUCUCUUCGGAGACAUAUAGACAGGUGGUGCAUGGUUGUCGUCAGCUCGUGUCGUGAGAUGUUGGGUUAAGUCCCGCAACGAGCGCAACCCUUACUGUUAGUUGCUACGCAAGAGCACUCUAGCAGGACUGCCGUUGACAAAACGGAGGAAGGUGGGGAUGACGUCAAAUCAUCAUGCCCCUUAUGACCUGGGCCUCACACGUACUACAAUGGCUGUCAACAGAGGGAAGCAAAGCCGCGAGGUGGAGCGAACCCCUAAAAGCAGUCUUAGUUCGGAUUGUAGGCUGCAACCCGCCUACAUGAAGUCGGAAUUGCUAGUAAUCGCAGAUCAGCAUGCUGCGGUGAAUACGUUCCCGGGCCUUGUACACACCGCCCGUCACGCCAUGGGAGUCGGUAACACCCGAAGCCUGUAGUCUAACCGCAAGGAGGACGCAGUCGAAGGUGGGAUUGAUGACUGGGGUGAAGUCGUAACAAGGUA